AAGAACUUACAGAGUGCACUUCAUUGUGGCUCGACAUUUUCUACCAAUCACCCUAGUGAACUGUAAUACCUUUUUUUCAUUACUAGACUCUACAAAGUUAUUGAAUGUAAUACUUUUUAUAAAGAAAUA
RNAcentral lists this unclassified non-coding RNA (129 nucleotides) under uncultured Pucciniomycetes. RNAcentral's name for it is "sequence contains ITS1". The record is from RNAcentral. Lineage: Eukaryota; Fungi; Basidiomycota; Pucciniomycetes.